RNA transcript from Cynara cardunculus var. scolymus (artichoke), 2852 nucleotides. It is a transcript of the gene named pentatricopeptide repeat-containing protein At3g26782, mitochondrial-like, with no coding region annotated. The record is from RefSeq and is a predicted model, not a curated record. The transcript is spliced from 3 exons. NCBI's taxonomy places the organism in Eukaryota, Viridiplantae, Streptophyta, Magnoliopsida, Asterales, Asteraceae.
UGGGGUUUCAUUCAUUUCUAUCAGCCCCAAAAUCUCGACUUCUUCUCUUCUUGAAACCUCUUUAAUCGGCAUGUGCUCAUCCUUUCUCCGGCGAGGUCUCCGAUUAGGUAAUCAAGGGGAUUCAAAGCCGAUGUGAAAGAGAGUAAAUCCAAUCAGACAAUUUAAGGACUGUUCUCUAGGCUUAUUUUUAUUUCGGAUUUCAAAUUUUUUGCAUUCAGAAAUUAGUAAAGAGUAAGAAUUUUGUCAUGUGAUGUCCUUUUGACUUGUUGGAAGACAUUUUUCUCAAAAUGCUUCCAUGGCUUUACUACUAAAGCUACUCAACGAUGCCACCCAAGGGACUUAAUUUCUACAUCUCCAGGCUCCAAACAUGUGUCUCUAUUGAUCAACUUCGUCAACUUCAUGCUCAGAUUCUCAAGACUCGAGUCUCCCACAACGUAUUUCUGUUGACCCGUGUAGCUCACACUUACCUCAAAUUUGGUUGCGUAAAUGUUGGAGAAAGAUUUGUUGUCAACGUCAUUAGAAACCCGCCUUUAUUUCUUUGGAAUGAAACCAUUAAAUGCUAUGCCAGGAAAGGUUGUUACCGAGAAUCAGUCGAUCUUUACUAUGAGAUGGUUCGUAGUGGCUACACUCCUAAUGCAUUCACAUUCACGUUUGUGUUGCCGGCUUGUGCUGGGUUGAAGUCGGUUUCAGAUGCAUGGAGGAUUCAUGAUGAUGUUUUGUUGUUCGGCUGCGAGUAUAAUGAGUUUGUUGCCACUGCACUUAUUGAUGUUUAUGGGAAGUGUGGCGAACUAGGUUUUGCACGCCAACUGUUCAAUGAUUUGCCAGUGAAGAAAACUGCAAGUUGUAAUGCUUUGAUGGCAGGGUUCGUGCUGGAUGAGAAGUUCAAUGAUGCUUUGUCCCUUUAUAAUGAAAUGAAGAAGUUGGGGAUCACGGCUGAUUCAAUGACCCUGGUUAGUGUACUUCAGUCGUGUGCCUCUUUGGGUGCUUUGCAACAAGGAAGAUGGGUCCAUGACCAAGUAAUAAGGAGCCAAAUGGGGAUCAACAUAUACUUGGGUGCAGCGUUGAUUAACAUGUAUGCUAGAUGUGGUAGCAUAGAAGAGGCUCGACGUAUCUUUGAAGGAAUGCCAGAAAAAGAUAUUGUUGCUUGGACAGCAACCAUAUGUGGCUGUGGAAUGCAUGGUCUUGCCCAUCUUUCGGAAUCUCUUUUUCUUCGUAUGCUGAAUGAUGGGAUAAGACCUGAUGCCGUGACAUUUGUUGGAGUUUUGGCAGGUUUUAGUCACAAUGGUAUGGUCGAGAAGGGGUGGUAUUAUUUCAACAAAAUGUCUGACGAGUUUGGUAUAAAGCCUGUCUUAGAGCAUUAUAGUUGCAUGGUUGACAUGCUUGGUAGGGCUGGCCAGUUGAAUGAAGCCGAAAAGCUUGUGAGAGAUAUGGCUGUAAAACCUGAUUCCAAGAUAUGGGGUGGGCUGUUAAAUGCAUGCAGGAUUCAUAAGAAUGUUGAGAUGGCUGAAAGAGUUGUAGGUGAGAUUUUAAGUUUGGAUCCAACUAAUGCCGGAUGGCAUGUGCUCAUGUCAAACAUCUAUGCGACUGCUGGGAAAUGGGACCAGGUUGUCAAAAUGAGACGAAUUAUGAAAGACAGGAAGUUGGAAAAACCACCUGGGUGGAGCUCGAUUGAAGUUGCAGGGCAGAUUCACACAUUUCUUGUGUCUGAUCAAUCACAUCCAAGGUCAAGAGAGAUUUACAGAUAUCUUAAGGAUAUAAAAGAAAAAAUGAGAGCUGAAGGUUAUGUUCCUGAAACAGGUGUUGUGUUUGAAAAGGUUAAUGAGGAAGUGAAGGAGGAGAUGUUAUCUUGUCACAGUGAAAGAUUGGCAAUAGCCUUUGGCAUUCUAAGCACCUCGGAUGGUGAUGUAUUGAGGGUGAUGAAGAAUUUGCGAGUCUGUGUUGAUUGCCAUAAUGUUAUCAAGUUUAUCUCUCAGUUCGCCCAUAGAGAAAUCAUCGUCAGAGAUGCCAAAAGAUUUCAUCACUUUAAGGAAGGUUCUUGUAGUUGUGGAGAUUAUUGGUGAUGCAGACUUGAUUCAACUCUACUCAACAGUUUUGUCGCACUUGGUGGAUACUAUUAUCACCGUAAAUCCUGGUAUCCAUAUGAGGAGGCAGGAGAAGUAUCCAUGCUUUUGUUGUUUGAAGAAGAGGAAGCACCAUUCGUGAAAAAGAUUUAUCACAUUUGCUUGUAGCUAAGGGGCUGCUUGUGUUUCUCUUAAUGGUUCCAUUAAGAGGUAAAUCUUGAUUCGGUCAGUGGGAGAUGUUUGGCGAAAAAAUUCCACCUCUUAAUCGUUCCAAAAGACACUGAAUGGUUUGCAUCUAGGGUAAGCCCAAUCAUUCAGGGGCCAUUUUAUUCCUAUAUUGGCCUUCAAACUCUUUCAUCCUCAUCGCUUGAUGCACGCCUCUCACUGGUAUCUCGUGACUACUGCUGGCUCGAUCCCCUGCUCCAUUUCCUCUCUAUCGCUGGUAUUUCUUGCUUCUCUGCUCGAUUUCAUCUUUGGUUUGAUCUACUGUCAUUCUUUUCCUCUCAUUCUCAUCUAUUGUUGUUCGAUUUCAUCUUUGUUUUGAUCUAAUGUCGUUUGUUUUCUCUCGAUUUCAUCUACUAUUGAUUUUGUUCCAAAAAACCGACACCAUUCACAACUUUUACACUUGUUUCGAACAACCCCUAAAAUAUAAAGAUUGGUUUAUUGGAGUGAAGAGGUCCCGUGCUAUCUCUGACCACAACUUUUACAUUUGCUGUGAAGGAAAAAGAAGAGCAAUAUGAAAAAGAAUUAUAUGGUUGUGAUUGCUCGAAUGAUGGUCAUCUGAUAUGAGCU